Molecule: long non-coding RNA, 803 nt
Organism: Spea bombifrons (plains spadefoot toad)
Lineage: Eukaryota; Metazoa; Chordata; Amphibia; Anura; Pelobatidae
Exons: 3
Source: RefSeq, a predicted model, not a curated record
CCUUGUCCGCUUUUUCUCUGUGUCCGCUCCCUUAGCCAGGUGCUUCUGCAAAGGGGCGGAGCCUCUGCACACACCCUCUCCCCUGAUUGGAAGAGCAAGUGGGAGAGGCUAUGCCUUGUGUUGCGCAGUGGCUCCGCCCCUUUUUGUUACUGGAGCUGUUUCCGAGGUGAAGACAGAAGAACAAGAAGAAAUGGAGCUUUGGACAUUAAGAGAGAGCGAGUGAAUGAGAGUAUGGGUAAGGGGGAGUGACGAGCCCCUAGGCUGAGUUGCCUGAGCGGGGAAUUGUUGAAUAAAAUAAAUUAAAAAUUAAACGUAAAAACUUAACUUUUGAUGCGAAUUGCCUCUGGGUUUCCGUGACGAUCGUAUAAAUACACUUUACUGACUCCAUGUCUCUGUCUUUCAGCUUUAGUACAACAAUCCAAACGGGGAUGGCGGUGCAGACUUACAUAGCGCUGUCCUGCACGCAGAUCUGUAGCCAGUUUGGGCUGCGAGCUCGCAAAGCGGCCAAAAAGGACGGGACGUCACGGAGGAAGAGCGCUGUAGGGCAGCGUCAGAGAGAUUGAACGCAGGUUGUGUGCUAGCUGUCGAGAGCAAAGGUAACCAAGUCUGGACACACCGCCGGCGGUUACACUUCCAGGAGUGGAGGGACAGACCUUCGAGUUUGAGUUUUGGUUUAACCUGUUUAUUGCCCGUGACAGGAGCCGGUGCAGAAUAAGACGCCGGCUGUUUAAUGGGUCCAGGGAGGAGACCCUGGCGGUCACAAUAACGCAGUUACGCUUUCAUUUACGCCGUAAUAGUACUGA